RNAcentral lists this non-coding RNA (28 nucleotides) under Cricetulus griseus (Chinese hamster). Lineage: Eukaryota; Metazoa; Chordata; Mammalia; Rodentia; Cricetidae. The record is from RNAcentral.
UGCACACAGGACAGAACAGAAGCAAUUC